This 230-nucleotide ribosomal RNA is filed under the name uncultured bacterium. RNAcentral describes it as "partial 16S ribosomal RNA". It matches the Rfam family "Bacterial small subunit ribosomal RNA", at positions 127 to 353 of the family's 1533-position model. The record is from RNAcentral.
UGCCUUGGAGAGGGGGAAUAACACUCCGAAAGGAGUGCUAAUACCGCAUGAUGCAGUUGGGUCGCAUGGCUCUGACUGCCAAAGAUUUAUCGCUCUGAGAUGGCCUCGCGUCUGAUUAGCUAGUAGGCGGGGUAACGGCCCACCUAGGCGACGAUCAGUAGCCGGACUGAGAGGUUGACCGGCCACAUUGGGACUGAGACACGGCCCAGACUCCUACGGGAGGCAGCAUG